Molecule: ribosomal RNA, 612 nt
Filed under: Ascomycota sp.
Lineage: Eukaryota; Fungi; Ascomycota
Description: LSU rRNA
Rfam family: Eukaryotic large subunit ribosomal RNA
Source: RNAcentral
GCAUAUCAAUAAGCGGAGGAAAAGAAACCAACAGGGAUUACCUCAGUAACGGCGAGUGAAGCGGUAACAGCUCAAAUUUGAAAUCUGGCCGCAAGGUCCGAGUUGUAAUUUGUAGAGGAUGUUUCGAGCAUGGUCUGGCCUAAGUUCCUUGGAACAGGACGUCAUAGAGGGUGAGAAUCCCGUAUGCGGUCAGGUGCCUACGCUCAUGUGAAACUCCUUCGACGAGUCGAGUUGUUUGGGAAUGCAGCUCAAAAUGGGUGGUAAAUUUCAUCUAAAGCUAAAUAUUGGCCAGAGACCGAUAGCGCACAAGUAGAGUGAUCGAAAGAUGAAAAGCACUUUGGAAAGAGAGUUAAACAGUACGUGAAAUUGUUGAAAGGGAAGCGCUUGCAACCAGACUUGCGCGCGGCUGAUCAUCCGGGCUUCUGCCCGGUGCACUCGGUCGCGCUCAGGCCAGCAUCGGUUUUGGUGGCGGGAUAAAGGCCUUGGGAAUGUAGCUCCUCUCGGGGAGUGUUAUAGCCCAGGGUGCAAUGCCGCCUACCGGGACCGAGGACCGCGCUUCGGCUAGGAUGCUGGCGUAAUGGUUGUAAGCGACCCGUCUUGAAACACGGACCA